This 496-nucleotide ribosomal RNA is filed under the name uncultured bacterium. RNAcentral's name for it is "partial 16S ribosomal RNA". It matches the Rfam family "Bacterial small subunit ribosomal RNA", at positions 29 to 507 of the family's 1533-position model. The record is from RNAcentral.
AUGAACGCUGGCGGCGUGCCUAAUACAUGCCAGUCGAGCGAACAGACGAGGAGCUUGCUCCUCUGACGUUAGCGGCGGACGGGUGAGUAACACGUGGAUAACCUACCUAUAAGACUGGGAUAACUUCGGGAAACCGGAGCUAAUACCGGAUAAUAUAUUGAACCGCAUGGUUCAAUAGUGAAAGACGGUUUUGCUGUCACUUAUAUAUGGAUCCGCGCCGCAUUAGCUAGUUGGUAAGGUAACGGCUUACCAAGGCAACGAUGCGUAGCCGACCUGAGAGGGUGAUCGGCCACACUGGAACUGAGACACGGUCCAGACUCCUACGGGAGGCAGCAGUAGGGAAUCUUCCGCAAUGGGCGAAAGCCUGACGGAGCAACGCCGCGUGAGUGAUGAAGGUCUUCGGAUCGUAAAACUCUGUUAUUAGGGAAGAACAAAUGUGUAAGUAACUAUGCACGUCUUGACGGUACCUAAUCAGAAAGCCACGGCUAACUACGUG